Molecule: unclassified non-coding RNA, 244 nt
Filed under: Paraglomus sp.
Lineage: Eukaryota; Fungi; Glomeromycota; Glomeromycetes; Paraglomerales; Paraglomeraceae
Description: partial internal transcribed spacer 2
Source: RNAcentral
GUGAAUCAUCAAAUCUUUGAACGCAAAUUGCGCCUUUUUCGGUUGGCAUGUCUGUUUGAGGUUACCAUUUAACAAAUAUUGUGCAGCGUGUUUUGUUGCACACGUUGAUGAGCUUUCCAAGAAUUUUAAAUUUUUGGUUGCGCAUAAUGAACAGCGAGAAAGUUUUUUUCAGUUCGUGUGUAGUAAAAUCUUUGCUUGUGUUCUGAAAAAACAUAAUCGCGCAAUGGGUGUGGCUAUUUCUUUU